GGAUGAAAUUCCAUGAGAGAAAGAAACACAAGGAAAAAUCCUUAAUCCCAACACCAAGCUCUAUGCAGUAGUGUUUCCGCUGUGGGUCUCUUUUCUUGCCAUCUCGGGAGCAAGCCUGGCGAAUGACGUGAAGCCAGGAGCCAUAACCUGCAAAUUCCUGGGAGGAGAGCUGUGUACCUGAUCCAGCAGAUGCUGUGGGACGUGUUUGCAGUGAUGCAGGCUGAGCUGGCUGAGUAACACUGAACAUCUGCCUUAAGGCAAGUCACCUGGCCCAGCUCGUGAAACCAUCAGCUUCAUUGGCAGCGAAUGAAGUCCUUGGCUGAAGAGAGAAAUUGAGGACUUAAAACUGUCUGUGCAGGAAACAGACUCCUGGUUUAAAUUAAUGAGAUGUCAAAUACUAUUAAGUUCCAAUGAUGUGUUUGUGAUAACGAAGGGACUGAUUUUCAGCCAGUUUACAACUCUGAUCCAUUCUCUCACCCCC
This is a long non-coding RNA of Zonotrichia albicollis (white-throated sparrow), 481 nucleotides long. RefSeq lists it as uncharacterized. The record is from RefSeq and is a predicted model, not a curated record. Lineage: Eukaryota; Metazoa; Chordata; Aves; Passeriformes; Passerellidae.